CCAGGAUUGGGGUGGGGGGCAUGUAUCCAAAAUGGCUACUUCCUUGUCUCGGCUUCUGCUCUUUGGGUUCUUGCCUUCUGUGAUAUUGGAUUGGUGGCAUCUUUAGACACUCUCCCGGGAUGUGUGUGGUUGUGGCUGAAUUCUCACUGAGCCCCCUGGGUGGCAUCCUCUGGGCCUGGGAGGUGGAGUCCUGGAGAGCUGCUCCCUGCUCUCUGGGCAGCCUCUGGACUGCUGAGGGCUGGUAGCUCCUUCCCAGGCAGGGUGGCCUUUCUCACGUCUUCCAUCCUUCCUUCCUGUGCAGCCAUUCCGGGAGAGAGGAGAGGGUCCCAGAGCUCAUGUCCACUCCACUCCCUGGCACGAUCUGGUCUCCCACCCUUUGGUGAGGACCGUGUUCCUCCCAGAGGCUUUCCCUCCAGGCCCGAGGUGGGAACCUGCAGGACUCCCAGAAGCAGUUUAACUUUACUUAGCAGCUCAGCUCAGCUUGGAGGUUGAGAGUGCAGAGUCUACAACUGGAUCAAAUUCCAGCUCUGAUGAUGAUUAGUUGAGUGAAAGUGACUUAAUCUUUCUGAGCUUCAUUUUUAUUGAUGAAUCAGGAUAAUAUUAGUAGCACCUGCCUCAUAGAAGUUGUGCAUAUGAACUGAGAUAAUGGACUAAAGUGCUUAACUGGUCGAUAAAUGCUAUUAAUUUCAUUAUAUUUACAUAUUAACUAUUUAAUUCCAUGCCACAUUUUAUUCUGCCAGGAUCUCAGCUUCCUUCCCCUUUUCUGUUCCUGUCAUGGUCACCACACUGAUGCACCUUGCGGAAGAGAAGGUGGCAAGUGCCCUGUGUGCUUUUAUAUGUGAGACAGGACCUGACAAAUAAGUACUAUGAAAAAUACCUGGGGCCUGCUUAUGUAUCUGCAUUUUUGUGUUUCCUGUCGAAUGUCUUUAAUGUAUAAAUGUAGCAUCUUCUCAGUAAAAACACAAAUGCUUUUGGAGGACGGGGGGAGGAAGCAGAUACUAGAAUUGGCAUGCUGUUUCUAAAGCCCUCUGGGAAAAACAAACAUGUAAGAAAUAACCAAGAUAUUCCUGGAAAAGCAGAGCAUUGAGAGGGACACUGGCACUCCAGAUACUAAAAAGUCUAAGAUAAAGAUACCAUUUGCAAGGCUACAGAAAUGCAAACAGUGGGGCUGGCACAUGAACACACAGACGACUCAAGGGGAGAAAAUAAGUCCAGAAAUAAACUUACAAUCAGGAAUUAAGAAUAUGAUAAACAGCCAGACACAGUUUCUCACACCUGUAAUCCCAGCAUUUUGGGAAGCCAAGGCGGGCGGAUCCCUUGAGCCCAGGAGUUUGAGACCAGGCUGGGCGUCAUAGUGAAACCCUGUCUCCACUAAAAAUACAAAAAGUAGUCGAGUGUGUGUAGAGGUGUGAGCCUGUAGUCCCAGCUACUCAGGAAGGCGAGGUAGGGGAAAUACUUGAGCCCAGGAGGUUGAGGCUACAGUGAGCAGAGAUUGUGCUCCUGCAUUCUGGCCUGGGCGACAGAGCGAGACUGACUCAAAAAAAAAAAAAAAAAAAAAGAAUAUGAUAAACAUAGCAAACCAAAUACAUAAGGAAGAGAUGAGUAGGGCAAUGAACAGUGUCCAGAGUCCCAGCAGCAAAACAAAUACAAAAUG
RNAcentral lists this long non-coding RNA (1654 nucleotides) under Pan troglodytes (chimpanzee). Its description in RNAcentral is "long non-coding RNA NONPTRT015942". Lineage: Eukaryota; Metazoa; Chordata; Mammalia; Primates; Hominidae. The record is from RNAcentral.